GUGCAAAUAUUUUUGGAGGGCCACUUAAGUUCAAUUCCACCAGCAUCUUGACCAAAGACAUUACCUUCACCGUGUCCGUGAUAAGCGCCAUAAUCGUCCUUCUGAGCUGAAAGUUCUUAAUACCUGGAAAAAGCUCAUUCAGAUCCUCUCUGGUCAAAGUAAAGACUUGAGCAUCAUCAAUUCCUACAUCUAGAAACAGGUGAACAAUGUAGCAUGUCACACUGCAAGAGCUUAGUUUAAUACAUUUAUUUUUAACAGGUGUGAUAGAUAAAUGGCAUUAUAAACAUUAUCAGGUAACAUAGCCUACAUACCAUCCAAGACAGAAGACUGAGAGAUUGCAUUGAUUUGUUGUAGGAGAGCUCUUCCCUUCUUGAAAGUUUGGAAAUAAAGAUGGAUCAUGGAUCAGACCCAUUAUAACAUGUCUGCUACAUGUGUACCAAGCAGGAGGAAAAUGUCAAAACCAAAACUAAACCCCCAAACACCAGAUGUCAUAAAAGAUUUGGGAAGAGAGGCUGAAGGUAGUGGAACGAAACCAUCCAAAGUAAGACCAAGCAUCCUCAACUUGAGUUAUGCAUCAAUAUGCCAGCGGAUAAGAUAUAUAUUUAGGCAGUUAAUAAAAUUAAACAUGAUAUCAUCAGAUUUUAUUAUUGCAUUUGUGUUAUUGCAUUUCAGAAUGAGGGGACAAGCUCUCAGAAAAUAAAGAGAACUUACACCAGAAAAAAGUACC
Long non-coding RNA from Sinocyclocheilus rhinocerous, 727 nucleotides. The record is from Ensembl. NCBI's taxonomy places the organism in Eukaryota, Metazoa, Chordata, Actinopteri, Cypriniformes, Cyprinidae.